RNAcentral lists this long non-coding RNA (1087 nucleotides) under Scleropages formosus (Asian bonytongue). RNAcentral describes it as "lncRNA (ENSSFOG00015030428.1)". Lineage: Eukaryota; Metazoa; Chordata; Actinopteri; Osteoglossiformes; Osteoglossidae. The record is from RNAcentral.
CUCUGAAAUAAAUGACGAGUGGGUAGGAGCUAAACGCUCUUUUUAGUCCUGCAAUUUGACGUUUACUUCACGUUCUGAGACUAGCCGUCACAUGUUGGUCAAAAGCGUCGUUUUUUGUAUCGGACGCUUCCUUUGAAGUAGCAGGCUAGCUAGCUGUUCCACAAUGUCGAAUCUUCACAAAUGCAACAUCAGAAGCUUUCCAUUUUUUUCCACGGCGCGAGAGCUGCAAUUUAAUUUUUGCUGUGGAGUCACUCUGCCGACUCAACCGCACUCAAGCGAGAGACUCUGCAUUUCUUCUGAUUCCCUAUAUGCUCCAUGCAAGUCUCCUGCUCAGUAUUCAUGAACAGGGUGAUGAAACCUGCAAACUGCUGAUCCGAACACUUCUGACAACUCUCCACGUGUACAUCUCUGCUGUAGAAAACUCGAUAUUACAAGAACAGGAGAUAAUGUCAGAGCCACUAAGGAGAUUUUUUUAAGGUUCAAACAUCCAGCUCACUCUGGGUGCGUUUGCAAUUGUCCCCAUUAUAGAAAAGACCUUAUUCUCUCCUGUCACCAGUAUAACCCUGUAUUGCAUCUAAAGCUUUAUAUCUUAUUUGGCAAAAGGACUUAAGUGUUUCAACUCAUUGUACAUUAUCAUCGUACAAAAUGUGGCCAACCAUGUGCUCAGGAAACCUUUUGAUGCUGCAGAUUGCUAGGAUGUCAACAAGUGCCCUCAAGGGACAUCAGCUCCUACUGUCUUUCCUUUAUUGUGAGACAGAGACACCUCUGUUUUCCACCUAGUUGAGGGCAACAUCAGCCACUGCCUUUGCAGUUUCCUGACACCCAUAUACAUUUGCUUUCUAAUUUCUAGGAUUUUGUAAACAAGUUGAGUUAUAAACAUAUGAUUUAAUUUCUGUGCUAUUUUAUAUGGCCUUGAAACUUUGAUUUGAGCUUGUCAGAACACCCAUCACAAGUUUUAAUGCUGUUUGGCUUUGUUAUUUUGUUAAAAAGAUGGGUGGUGUUGUACUGUGUGCUCACGUCAGACUUGUGGUGUAUUGUUUAAUUUGCAGUAAGUUUGAAAUCUUGAUUCACUGUUAUUUCACAGUGC